Molecule: unclassified non-coding RNA, 391 nt
Filed under: soil metagenome
Description: partial contains 5.8S ribosomal RNA, internal transcribed spacer 2, and large subunit ribosomal RNA
Rfam family: 5.8S ribosomal RNA (bases 1-122)
Source: RNAcentral
GAUGAAGAACGUAGCGAAAUGCGAUACUUGGUGUGAAUUGCAGAAUCCCGUGAACCAUCGAGUCUUUGAACGCAAGUUGCGCCCGAAGCCAUUAGGCCGAGGGCACGCCUGCCUGGGCGUCACACGUCGUUGCCCCCCCAUCUACUCCUUCGGGAUUGCGGGGGGCGGAUGAUGGCUUCCCGUGCGCCUCGUCGCGCGGUUGGCAUAAAUGCCAAGUCCUCGGCGACGCACGCCACGACAAUCGGUGGUUGCGAAACCUCGGUUGCCCGUCGUGUGCGGUCGUCGCGCAUCGAGGGCUCGAAAAAAUUGCCGGGCUCCGGCUCGGCUUUCAACGCGACCCCAGGUCAGGCGGGGUUACCCGCUGAAUUUAAGCAUAUCAAUAAGCGGAGGA